RNAcentral lists this long non-coding RNA (248 nucleotides) under Elaeis guineensis (African oil palm). RNAcentral describes it as "long non-coding RNA (EGUI_LNC082590)". The record is from RNAcentral. Lineage: Eukaryota; Viridiplantae; Streptophyta; Magnoliopsida; Arecales; Arecaceae.
CUCUUACACGACGAGUCGUCGGCUUUAGUUUUUUUUUUCCUCCUCGUGGCCGCGACGUUGGGAGCUCUGGUGAUUUAUAAAUGUUUGGGGGUACAAUAAAAAAGCGACCGUGGUAAGUGGGGACGGGUGAUGAGAACGAGAGGAAAGAAAAAGAUCGACUUCCCGCCCUUCUCUCUUCUUGAAAUCUAGAGCGGUGGUGUAGAAAGAGACAGAAGAGAGAAGAGAGAAGAGAGAGAGAGAGAGAGAGG